CCAACCGGCAAUCGCGUGCUAUUUAUUUGCUGCGGUGAAUUCCCCUCUGCGGCGGAGCGUUCAGUUCAGUCUCCUGUUGGCGAAAAUUAGCACGCGAAUUAGUUCGAACUGGCUAAUUCACCGGGAGGCACCCGGCACCGCAAUCACCAUUCGCAAACUAUGAAACCCGAUCGCUGCAAGCGUGAUUUUUUC
This 192-nucleotide small RNA is filed under the name Klebsiella aerogenes. RNAcentral's name for it is "Gammaproteobacterial sRNA STnc100". It matches the Rfam family "Gammaproteobacterial sRNA STnc100". The record is from RNAcentral. Lineage: Bacteria; Pseudomonadati; Pseudomonadota; Gammaproteobacteria; Enterobacterales; Enterobacteriaceae.